RNAcentral lists this ribosomal RNA (399 nucleotides) under Micrococcus sp. RNAcentral's name for it is "bacterial SSU rRNA". It matches the Rfam family "Bacterial small subunit ribosomal RNA", at positions 10 to 386 of the family's 1533-position model. The record is from RNAcentral. Lineage: Bacteria; Bacillati; Actinomycetota; Actinomycetes; Micrococcales; Micrococcaceae.
AGUUUGAUCCUGGCUCAGGAUGAACGCUGGCGGCGUGCUUAACACAUGCAAGUCGAACGAUGAAGCCCAGCUUKCUGGGUGGAUUAGUGGCGAACGGGUGAGUAACACGUGAGUAACCUGCCCUUAACUCUGGGAUAAGCCUGGGAAACUGGGUCUAAUACCGGAUAGGAGCGCCYACCGCAUGGUGGGUGUUGGAAAGAUUUAUCGGUUUUGGAUGGACUCGCGGCCUAUCAGCUUGUUGGUGAGGUAAUGGCUCACCAAGGCGACGACGGGUAGCCGGCCUGAGAGGGUGACCGGCCACACUGGGAYUGAGACACGGCCCAGACUCUACGGGAGGCAGCAGUGGGGAAUAUUGCACAAUGGGCGCCUACUGAAAGAGGUUUACAACCCGAAGGCCGU